GACAGAGGGUGCAAACGUUGUUCGGAAUUACUGGGCGUAAAGCGUGUGUAGGCGGCCACGCAGGUCGGAUGUGAAAGCCCAGGGCUCAACCCUGGAAGUGCAUUCGAAACCUCGUGGCUUGAGUAUCGGAGAGGUUGGUGGAAUUCUCGGUGUAGAGGUGAAAUUCGUAGAUAUCGAGAGGAACACCGGUGGCGAAGGCGGCCAACUGGACGAAUACUGACGCUGAGACACGAAAGCGUGGGGAGCAAACAGG
This 253-nucleotide ribosomal RNA is filed under the name uncultured bacterium. RNAcentral's name for it is "partial 16S ribosomal RNA". It matches the Rfam family "Bacterial small subunit ribosomal RNA", at positions 524 to 776 of the family's 1533-position model. The record is from RNAcentral.